GUAGGUGGCAAGCGUUGUCCGGAAUUAUUGGGCGUAAAGCGCGCGCAGGUGGUUCUUUAAGUCUGAUGUGAAAGCCCCCGGCUCAACCGGGGAGGGUCAUUGGAAACUGGGGAACUUGAGUGCAGGAGAGGAAAGUGGAAUUCCACGUGUAGCGGUGAAAUGCGUAGAUAUGUGGAGGAACACCAGUGGCGAAGGCGACUUUCUGGCCUGUAACUGACACUGAGGCGCGAAAGCGUGGGGAGCAAACAGGGAUUAGAUACCCUGGUAGUCCACGCCGUAAACGAUGAGUGCUAAGUGUUGGGGGGGUUUUCGCCCCUCAGUGCUGCAGCUAACGCAUUAAGCACUCCGCCUGGGGAUACGGUCGCAAGACUG
Molecule: ribosomal RNA, 372 nt
Filed under: uncultured organism
Description: partial 16S ribosomal RNA
Rfam family: Bacterial small subunit ribosomal RNA
Source: RNAcentral